This 502-nucleotide ribosomal RNA is filed under the name uncultured bacterium. RNAcentral's name for it is "partial 16S ribosomal RNA". It matches the Rfam family "Bacterial small subunit ribosomal RNA", at positions 28 to 507 of the family's 1533-position model. The record is from RNAcentral.
GACGAACGCUGGCGGCGUGCUUAACACAUGCAAGUCGAACGGUGAAGGGGUCUGCUUUUGUGGGGCCUGGAUGAGUGGCGAGUGGGUGAGUAACAAGUGAGUAACCUGCCCCCUUCUUCUGGAUAACCGCAUGAAAGUGUGGCUAAUACGGGGUAUUCUGGGUCUGUGGCAGGAUGGGUCUGGGAAAGGUUGCGCGGUUGGGUGUUUUUGGUGGGGGAUGGGCUGGCGGGGUAUGAGCUUGUUGGUGGGGUGAUGGCCUACCGGGGCGGUGGCGGGUAGCGGGUCGGCGGGGGGGGAGGGUGAGACGGGGACUGAGACACGGGCGAGACAGCUACGGGAGGGAGCCGUGCGGAAGAUUGCACAAUGGGAGAAAGCCUGAUGGAGCGACGCCGCGUGAAGCAAGGAGGCCUUCGGGGUGUAAGCCUUCUUGGUGAGUGCAGCAGGCCUGUUCGAUGUGGGUGGGUUGACGGUAGCUGGUAAAGAAGCGCCGGCUAACUACGUG